Molecule: ribosomal RNA, 516 nt
Filed under: Triticum aestivum (bread wheat)
Lineage: Eukaryota; Viridiplantae; Streptophyta; Magnoliopsida; Poales; Poaceae
Description: partial small subunit ribosomal RNA
Source: RNAcentral
AUGCAUCCCAAUAAUUGGGCAUCUGUUACCGUCAAAACUGCGCUGUUAUGCUUAUUUUGGACUUGUGGAUUGCUAUGCUUGGAUAAGGAAACAGAAAACAAGUUCUUGAGUAGUAUAUGGUGUUUGGAUAUUCCAAUGUCAGCAUUGAAAGAAGGGCCAUGUUAUUGGAAAUCUACAGGGCGAUAUAAAUGGUCUGGAACACAGAAUAUAUACUGUUUGGAUAUUCAAACGUCAACAUUGAAAGAAGGGUCAUGUUGUGGAAAUCUAAAGGGUGAUAUGAAUGGUCUGAAACACAGAAUAAAUUCAGCUUCGUAUUCAAUAAACGCUCCAAAAAUAGGAGAAUUGCUCUCACAGCCUGAGGGCCAGGGGGUCUUUCCAUUUUCCCCCUUGUGCCUCUUCGCGUCGUCGUCUUCCUCGCGCCGACCGACCCUCCAGCUCUGCCGCCGCCGUCGUCCUUCGCCUCUGCUUCGACAAAGGCCGCUGCAUCAACCUGAUCGUAUCAGAGAAAAGCGGUGA